UCCCAAAGUGGUUCUCGUUUAAUGGC
Molecule: non-coding RNA, 26 nt
Filed under: Macaca fascicularis (crab-eating macaque)
Lineage: Eukaryota; Metazoa; Chordata; Mammalia; Primates; Cercopithecidae
Also listed under: 1 other name
Source: RNAcentral